Molecule: long non-coding RNA, 458 nt
Filed under: Homo sapiens (human)
Lineage: Eukaryota; Metazoa; Chordata; Mammalia; Primates; Hominidae
Description: HSALNT0344982
Source: RNAcentral
CAAAGUGCUGGGAUUACAGGAGGCAAGGUUGUCUGGUGAGAGUACAUGGGAAAGGAGAUGGAAGGUUGGAGGUGAGAGCAAAGAAGGUUUGCUGCAGAAGUUGUGGAGAGAGGGAAGACAAGACAAGGAGAGAAAUAUGACGGCUGCCAAGGAGGAUUAGCACCCAGGUGGAGCAGUUUCGACAUGACAGCUCGCCAGUUUCACAAUGCAUACCUUCCUUAUCAGAGACCGUUGAUGAUGGAGAUGCUCUGGCCAGUCUAUAGAGAAUGCACAGAGGAUUUUCGGUCCUCUGCUUCACCUUCUGAUGUCAGAAGGCUGAAAACUCCACACUCAGAUUAUGCUAAUGCUGCCAUUUGUGUACAUGUGACCCAUGAAGAGGUAUGAAGCUCAAGUGCACAUGCAUGCUUCUCCUUUCAUAAACAUUAAUGAUUCCUCCUAUUACUUAUUAAAUAUGUAUA